Molecule: ribosomal RNA, 763 nt
Filed under: uncultured Streptococcus sp.
Lineage: Bacteria; Bacillati; Bacillota; Bacilli; Lactobacillales; Streptococcaceae
Description: bacterial SSU rRNA
Rfam family: Bacterial small subunit ribosomal RNA
Source: RNAcentral
GACGAACGCUGGCGGCGUGCCUAAUACAUGCAAGUAGAACGCUGAAGGGAGAGCUUGCUCUUCUGGAUGAGUUGCGAACGGGUGAGUAACGCGUAGGUAACCUGCCUGGUAGCGGGGGAUAACUAUUGGAAACGAUAGCUAAUACCGCAUAACAGCAAAUGUUGCAUGACAUUUGCUUAAAAGGUGCAAUUGCAUCACUACCAGAUGGACCUGCGUUGUAUUAGCUAGUUGGUGGGGUAACGGCUCACCAAGGCGACGAUACAUAGCCGACCUGAGAGGGUGAUCGGCCACACUGGGACUGAGACACGGCCCAGACUCCUACGGGAGGCAGCAGUAGGGAAUCUUCGGCAAUGGACGGAAGUCUGACCGAGCAACGCCGCGUGAGUGAAGAAGGUUUUCGGAUCGUAAAGCUCUGUUGUAAGAGAAGAACAAGUGUGAGAGUGGAAAGUUCACACUGUGACGGUAUCUUACCAGAAAGGGACGGCUAACUACGUGCCAGCAGCCGCGGUAAUACGUAGGCCCCGAGCGUUGUCCGGAUUUAUUGGGCGUAAAGCGAGCGCAGGCGGUUAGAUAAGUCUGAAGUUAAAGGCUGUGGCUUAACCAUAGUACGCUUUGGAAACUGUUUAACUUGAGUGCAAGAGGGGAGAGUGGAAUUCCAUGUGUAGCGGUGAAAUGCGUAGAUAUAUGGAGGAACACCGGUGGCGAAAGCGGCUCUCUGGCUUGUAACUGACGCUGAGGCUCGAAAGCGUGGGGAGCAAACAGG